UACGGAGGGGACUAGCGUUGUUCGGAAUUACUGGGCGUAAAGCGCACGUAGGCGGAUUUGUAAGUCAGGGGUGAAAUCCCGGGGCUCAACCUCGGAACUGCGUUUGAUACUGCAAAUCUCGAGUCCGGAAGAGGUGAGUGGAAUUCCUAGUGUAGAGGUGAAAUUCGUAGAUAUUAGGAGGAAUACCGAUGGCGAAGGCAGGUCUCUGGGCUGACACUGACGCUCAUGCACGAAAGCGUGGGGAGCAAACAGG
Molecule: ribosomal RNA, 253 nt
Filed under: uncultured bacterium
Lineage: Bacteria
Description: partial 16S ribosomal RNA
Rfam family: Bacterial small subunit ribosomal RNA
Source: RNAcentral